UCUGACAAAGUUUGAAUUUUUUUUCAAUAACCCUUAAAAUUAUAAAUUAUAUAAUUACCCCAAGACUUUCUCUCUGGUUGAUAGAGAGAAGUUUUUCACUUAACAAGGGUGAGUAUAUAGUGAUGCCAUAACAUUGGUGGAGUGAGAUAUAUAAUCCUAACUUGAAAAUUCUACAAUAAUAUAUAUGAUUUGAGUGACAAGAUAUUAAACUCAAAGCUGAUCGUAGUUAUUUUAGUCCAUACCAUACAUCACACGUACGAUCAUAUAGUGUCUAGCUAGAUGUUAUAUUCUUUACCCAGCCAUCCCUCUCGAACAUCUCUUGGGUAUCACAUUCAAAGGUAUAAGUUUUCGAACAGAUAUCCCAACCUUUUCUCUCAUAUCUAAGGUCUCAUGGGUUGAAUCUUUGUCAAGUUCCCAAUUAAAACAGUGAAUUAAAGAUGCUAGACCAAGGAGAAUUACUCUUUGAGCAAAUAACAUACCUACACAAAUCCUCCUUCCUGAUCCAAAUGGAAUUAGCUCAAAAUUUUGCCCCUUGUAGUCAAUGUUUAAACCUAAAAACCUCUCAGGCUUGAAGCUCAAGGGAUCUUCCCAAGAAUCUGGAUCUCUUCCUAUUGCCCAUGCAUUCACUAAAACUUGAGUAUCUUUAGGUACAUCGUACCCAACGAACUUUGUGUCUUGUAUUGUGUUUCUUGGAAGGAGCAAAGGAAGUGGGGGAUGUAAUCUAAGUGUUUCCUUCACGACAACUUGCAAAUAUGGUAGUUUCUCUAUGUCACUCUCUUCAACAUUUCUGUUUUCUCCAACAACUUCAAUGAGUUCUUCUUUAACCUUUCUCAUGGCUUCAGGUUGACGAAGUAACUCUGCCAUGGCCCAUUCUAUUACUGUACUCGUAGUCUCUGACCCAGCAAAAAACAUUUCCUUCAACGUCAGACAAAACCAAGAAUAAUUAGUUAAUUAGCCUUUAUUAUUGUGCUUUGCAAAUUAGCAAUUACAAGACAUAAUACAAAAUCUUCAAGUAAUGCAAGUAUAUGCUUACCAAUACGAGUAUGAUGAGCCUUUCAUAUGGGAUCUUCUCAUGCCAAUCUUUGCCAUCACCUUCAAAUUCCAACAAAGUGUCUAAGAAGUCCUUACUAGCUUUCUCCUUAUCCCCAAAUUUGUAUUCCUCAAUCCUUUCUUUCACAAACCCUUCAACAAUCUCCAAAGCUCGUCCCAUAUCUCUCGUCAUGUUUCUCUUUAGUCCUUGUGGAUCUAACCAUUUCAAGAAUGGAAAAAAAUCUGCUAAAUUUGGCUUCCCAGCCCACACUGAAACCAUUCCCAUAGCUUGAAAAAAUUCAUACCCUUCUUUACACUGUGAAUCCACAACGUCUCUCGAGAGCAUAAGGUUACCAACUAUGUUGAAUGACAUUAGGAAGAGAUAGUGAGGUAAAUUCACUACCCCUGACUCUCCCCUUGCAGUUGCAGCUGCUGUAUCAUCUUCAAUACUCCUGAACAUCAAAGCAAUGGUAGUAUCACUAUUUCAAUCUAACUUCAUACAAAAAUACUAUAUCUAUAAACAGGAUUCAAAAGUCAGUGGUUACCUAAUCAUCUGGAGGAUGCACUUCCGCCGAAUGGAAGCUGUAUCAUUGACUCGCUUGACGGUCAUCAUUUCCACCGAGCAAAGACGCCUAAUCAUACGCCAGUAGGGGCUAAACUGGCCAACAGCAAGUGACCCAUCUCUGUAGUUAAGACAGUUAAAUACUUCAAGAGACUUACGGUCACAGAAGCUGGUAUCGUGAUUCUUAAGCAGCUCAGCCGCAGUCUUAGCUGAUUGUAUCACAACUGUAUCCAUGGAUCCUAGUCUGAGCCAGAGAACAGGUCCAUACUUAAACUUAAGCUCCUCUAAAGCUUGGUGUGGUGCAAUUCCUAGAUCAAAAAUAUUGCCCAAGAUUGGCCAACCUGGAGGCCCUGGAGGCAAAUUCUUGGUUCCUUGUCCCAAAAUUUUCCCUCUCCGGCAUACAAUCACAGCCAAAGAUAAGAACAAACUUGCCCAAACAAGGAAACCGCAGAUGAACUCCAUUAUUUCUCUUGAGUUCAAAGACUGCCCGUUCUAGUCGUUGUUCUAUGCUUCUGUUUUAUAUUCUCACGUAGGAAUAUAAUAUUGCAAUUAGUCAUAUUUUUGCGGCCACUGUUCUUACACAUGCUUGUUUGGAGGGUUGAAUAAAAAUCAAAUUGGGUCUGUGGAAUUCAAUUACUGCUUUUUAGAGAAAUUAGUUUUAAAUUUUUAUUUUACUAUUUUUAUUAAAAAAUUUAGAAAUCUUUUGUAUUUUUAUAAACAUUUCUUAAAUAUAAUAUAUAAUCUAUAGAAUUUUUUUCAAAAUAAUUUACAAUAUUAUAUGUUAAAAAAAGAAGAGAAAUUUAUUUUUUUAGAAGCCCAAAUAGGAUACGCUCAAAAUACCAAAUCUAAUUAAACUGAAUUAUAUAUAAUUUGAUUGGAUUCAUUCAAUUAAAUAAAUAUUAUUACUUAAUUUAUUUUUUAAUUAUUUAUAUCGAAUUCAGUUUGAAAGAGUCUUAUUUAAUUUCAAUAUGAUCACUUAUUAAUUAUUAUUUUUCUAAAUAAAUAUUUAAAAUAUCUUUCAUAUUUAACAAAAUUAAAUAUUAAAUAUUUUUUAAAUGGAUAUAAUUAGAGGGGAGUAUUCGGUCGGUUCGGUUCAAAAUCAAAUCGAAUCGAAUAAAUUGAAAAUCAAAAUUUUUAGUAUUUAUGAAAACUGAAUCGAACUGAUUUUGAUCAGAAAUCAAAUCAAAUCGAACCAGUCUGAUUCGAUUCGAUUUGAUUCGGUUUGAUCAGUUUAAAUUUUUAAUAAAUUUUUUAUUUACACUUUAUUUUUAUUUUUAGUAUUUUAAAAUUUAAGUAAAAUAUUUUAAUUUUAAUAUAAUUUAAUCUCUUUAUAUUAUUUAAAAUAAUAUAUUAUUAUCACUAAUCGUUUCGAUUUUUUUAAUUUUGUUAUUAAAUUUGAAUCGAAUUAAAAUAACUAAAAUUUUUAAAAUUAAAUAUUAAAUCAAAUUGAAAUGAAUAAAAAAUCAAAUCAAAUUUUUAAAUUAAUUUGAUUCGUUGAAUUUUUUCGAUUUAAAUCUAAUACUGCUCACCCUUAAAUAUAAUUUAAAAAUUAAUAAAAUAUUAUUUUUUAACAUUAAAAAAAUAAAAUAAAUAAAAAUUAUCAGAUAAAAAAUACUAACUUUAUAUAAAAAUAUCAAUUUUUUAUAUAAUAUAAAAUUAUGCAAUAUCAAAUAUAUAUACAUAUAUGUGGUGGCGGCUUUAGGAUUAAAAAAAUUGGAUAAAAGGCAAAGAUAAUGGAGUCCAUGAGAGCAAAUUGAAUGAUUCUAAACGAUAAGUUUUAAGAUGUUGAUGUUCCUAUUACAUUGACAUAUUGGGGGACCAUCGUCAUAAUCAUGCUUCAUAGUUAGACUUUAAUUUAGAUAUAUUAUGGCUCACACAGUAUUGAACUCGAUAAUAAAUAUAUUUAAAUAAAUUUAAAAAAUUUAAAUUUUUAUUUUUUUAUUUUCAAUUUUCUUUAAAGAAAAAGAAAAUUUUAUUGUAAAAAAAAUAAUUAUUUUAUUUAUUUAUUUCUACAAAAUUAAUUAUUUCUUUUUCUUAUCUCAAAAAAAUACAUUGUUAAUAACUCAAAAAAAAAAUUUUCAAAUUUUCUUUUAUUAAAACUUAUUCUGGUUAACAAUCAUUUUGCAUUCUAUCCAAACACUCCCUUAUAAUGAAGGCCAAGUAAAAGCCAAACCCAUGAUUAAGAAAUCAAAACUCCAAAGACAAUAUCAUACUUCAAUCAAAUACAGACAAAAACACACAUAUAGGCAUCACAAAAGAAGGUGAUGCCUUUUGUUCUGUGCAUUAUUUUGUGGGGAAACUUUUGGCUGCAUCAGAGAGUAUUACACUAAAUUAAUGGGUGAGUCUCAAUUGGCUUAAGCAAUUGAGUCUUAUUAUUAUUAACUUCAUUUUGGGUGUCCUUUCGAAAGGCUAGCCUCACGAGCAGCUGUAAACUUGGCAAUGAGCUUGUCCCUAGGUGGCCAGCUUUCUUGGAUUGUUGGGAUAUUGGAGAAUUCCUGCAUCCAAGAAGUUAACACUGGGAAUUUUUGCUGGUUUAUUAGUUUUACUGUGCUAUUACUGUUGCUUAUUCUUCUUCUCCCAUGGCUGAUUUCAUACCACCAACUACUUAUCAGCUAGGCUAACCCACUCCCUUCUUUAAAACCAAUUCCCUGCACUCCGCUCCUUUAAUUUUUUUAAAAAAAUUACUUUUAAAUUCUUGAAUUUAAAAAAAAAAUAGUCCACAUCUAUUUCAAAAUCACUCACGUCCUUUAUUUUGUAAAAUCAAACCUUUUAAUAUUUUUUAAAAAAAAUCAUUAGUCAAUUUAUUAACUUUAAUUAAAAAGAUUAAAAGGUAUGAAUGUUUAAAAUUAUAAAAACUAAAUAAUAUAUGAUGAUCUGAAAUCCAAUACAAUAGGGUUUUACAAGGGCUUUUGUACUCAAGAAGAACUCUCUCCUCUCUCUAGAGGGGUAUCCCUUUUAUCCUUUUCUUCCUGCCUACUGAUGACGUAUAACGGCUCUCCCCUUAUUGGACCACGCGUCUCUGCCACACAGAUAUGGGCGUACGAGAAAAUCAGGCGCCUGCUCCAUGCGUAACAGCCUCUGAUUCUCCCCCGUGCGUACACUCGAACGGAUCUGCCAGGCUGUAUGACGAGUCUCGUUCUGGAUUCUGGGCCGGGCCGUAAGCUGGGCUGGACGCUGAACCUUGGAGAAGAAGGAAUCCGUGGGGAGGUUGUAUGGGCUGGGCCGAUCUCGAUGAGGGAGAAUCUGGUGGAGUCCGGCCUCAAGGAUCUGGUGGUCCGGGCCUGUUUUACUUGAGAAGGCGUGCGGGCCUUCCUUUCAUGGGCCAUGGCCAUAAUCUAGGCCCAGGAUUGGGGGUAGAGAAAUCCAGCGGUCAUCAAUAUAUAUAAUUAAAAUUAGAUUUAUUGGAUAAAAAAAUUUAAACAUUCACUAUUUUUUAUAUUUAUAUUCUAACCUUAAAAUCUUGUAUAAUAAAAUCAAUUCUUUCAUAUUUAUCUCAAUUUUAGCUAUUUAUGUUAAUCAAUUUUGAUAAAAGAAAUUUAUUACACUCUCAUGCCACAUAAAAUUAUUUCUUAAAAGACUUAUUGAAUAAAAAAAUUCAAAUAUUUAUGUUAAUUUAUAUUUAUAUUCAAAACUUUAAAAUUUAAAUAAUAAAAUUAAAAUUUUUUAAUUUAUCAUAAUUAUAAUAAAAAAAUAAAUUGAAUUUGAAAAUUUUAUGUUAAAUUAUAAUAUAUUUCUUAAAUUUUUAUUUAACUAAUAAAACAGUUCUUAAAAUAUAUAUUUUUAUUUUAAUAAUAAUUUUUUUUAUUAAAUCCAUUAUUUACUUUUCAUUUUCAUUUUUAUACAUGCAUAGUAGUUUAAUAAAAAUUUAAAAUGUUAAAAAAUUAUAAUAUAAAAUAUAUAAUAUUUUAUUUUUAUUUAAUAUUAUUAAUAUAAAGUACAAUUUUUUAUCGGAUCAGAUAAUAAAUUAAUAUACAUCACAAAUUUACUUAUUAUACAGAUAAGAAAAUAAAAAUAUUAAAUAUUUUAAAUAACUUAUAAUAAAUAUAAUUAAUAUAUCUAAAUUUUUAUGAAAAUCAUAAAAGGAAUAAUUUUACAUACUAAAAAAUGUAAUAUUUCAUUUGAAUUAAUAUUAUUAAUAUAAAAUUCAUAUAUUAAAAAUAUAUGCAUAAUUUAUAAUAGUGAAUAUAAAUCUUCAAUAAAUUAUUUUAAUAUAUAAUAUUUACAUGUGAUAUUUUACAUAGUGAAAAUUUAUUUAUAAUAAUUAUUUAUUUAGUAUUACAUAUGAUAAAUAUAAAAUAAAAAUAUACUUUUAAUAUAAAUUUUAAAUUAAAGAACUAUAUAUUUAUUAAUAUAAAAACUUUAAGAACAAUAACUUUUCAAAUUCAAUUUUAUACCUCAAUUAAAAUUAUGAUAAAAGUUUGAUUUUUUUUUCCAAUAACCCUUAGAAUUAUAAAUUAUAUAAUUACCCCAAGACUCUCUCUGGUUGAUAGAGAGAAAGAGAUAUAUAAUCCUAACUUGAAAAUUCUACAAUAAUAUAUAUGAUUUGAGUGACAAGAUAUUAAACUCAAAGCCAGUCGUAGUUAUUUUAAUCCAUACCAUACAUCACACAACCAUAUAGUAUCUAGCUAGAUGUUACAUUCUUUAGCCAGCCAUCACUCCCGAACAUCUCUUGGGUAUCACAUUCAAAGGUAUAAGUUUUCGAACAGAUAUCCCAACCUUUUCUCUCAUAUCUAAAGUCUCAUGGGUUGAAUCCUUAUCAAGUUCCCAAUUAAAACAGUGAAUUAAAGAUGCUAGACCAAGGAGAAUUACUCUUUGAGCAAAUAACAUACCUACAC
RNAcentral lists this long non-coding RNA (6426 nucleotides) under Manihot esculenta (cassava). RNAcentral's name for it is "long non-coding RNA (MESC_LNC006200)". The record is from RNAcentral. Lineage: Eukaryota; Viridiplantae; Streptophyta; Magnoliopsida; Malpighiales; Euphorbiaceae.